AAGUCGAGGGGCAGCGGGGUAGUAAGCCUGCUUACUACUGCCGGCGACCGGCGCACGGGUGAGUAACACGUAUGCAACCUGGCCGUCACAGAGGGAUAACCGGGAGAAAUCCCGCCUAAUACCGCAUAAUACCGGGGAAGGACAUCCUUUCCCGGUCAAAGGAGCGAUCCGGUGACGGAUGGGCAUGCGCCGCAUUAGUUAGUUGGCGGUGUGACGGACCACCAAGACGACGAUGCGUAGGGGUUCUGAGAGGAAGGUCCCCCACACUGGUACUGAGACACGGACCAGACUCCUACGGGAGGCAGCAGUGAGGAAUAUUGGUCAAUGGGCGAGAGCCUGAACCAGCCAAGUCGCGUGAGGGAAGACGGUCCUAUGGAUUGUAAACCUCUUUUGCCGGGGAGCAAAAAGCGGUACGUGUACCGCAUCGAGAGUACCCGGAGAAAAAGCAUCGGCUAACUCCGUGCCAGCAGCCGCGGUAAUACGGAGGAUGCGAGCGUUAUCCGGAUUUAUUGGGUUUAAAGGGUGCGCAGGCGGCGAGUUAAGUCAGCGGUAAAAUUUCGGGGCUCAACCCCGACGAGCCGUUGAAACUGGCUUGCUAGAGUGGGCGAGAAGUCCGCGGCCCGCGUGGUGUAGUGGUGAAAUG
RNAcentral lists this ribosomal RNA (643 nucleotides) under uncultured bacterium. RNAcentral's name for it is "bacterial SSU rRNA". It matches the Rfam family "Bacterial small subunit ribosomal RNA", at positions 59 to 688 of the family's 1533-position model. The record is from RNAcentral.